AGGGAUCAUUACCGAGUUUACAACUCCCAAACCCAAUGUGAACCAUACCAAACUGUUGCCUCGGCGGGGUCACGCCCCGGGUGCGUCGCAGCCCCGGAACCAGGCGCCCGCCGGAGGGACCAACCAAACUCUUUCUGUAGUCCCCUCGCGGACGUUAUUUCUUACAGCUCUGAGCAAAAAUUCAAAAUGAAUCAAAACUUUCAACAACGGAUCUCUUGGUUCUGGCAUCGAUGAAGAACGCAGCGAAAUGCGAUAAGUAAUGUGAAUUGCAGAAUUCAGUGAAUCAUCGAAUCUUUGAACGCACGUUGCGCCCGCCAGUAUUCUGGCGGGCAUGCCUGUCCGAGCGUCAUUUCAACCCUCGAACCCCUCCGGGGGGUCGGCGUUGGGGAUCGGGAACCCCUAAGACGGGAUCCCGGCCCCGAAAUACAGUGGCGGUCUCGCCGCAGCCUCUCCUGCGCAGUAGUUUGCACAACUCGCACCGGGAGCGCGGCGCGUCCACGUCCGUAAAACACCCAACUUCUGAAAUGUUGACCUCGGAUCAGGUAGGAAUACCCGCUGAACUUAA
RNAcentral lists this ribosomal RNA (565 nucleotides) under uncultured fungus. Its description in RNAcentral is "eukaryotic LSU rRNA". The stretch from base 196 to 349 matches the Rfam family "5.8S ribosomal RNA". The record is from RNAcentral. Lineage: Eukaryota; Fungi.